GGAGGAGCGAACGUUGUUCGGAAUUACUGGGCGUAGAGGGGCGUGUAGGCGGUCGGGGUAAGUCAGGUGUGAAAGACUGUCGCUCAACGGCAGACCUGCAUCUGAUACUGCUCGACUUGAGGUCAGGAGAGGAGAGCGGAAUUCCCAGUGUAGCGGUGGAAUGCGUAGAUAUUGGGAAGAACACCAGUGGCGAAGGCGGCUCUCUGGACUGAUUCUGACGCUGAGGCGCGAAAGCUGGGGGAGCAAACAGGAUUAGAUACCCUGGUAGUCCCAGCCGUAAACGAUGGGCACUAGGUGCUGGGGAUAUCGACAUCUUCAGCGCCGUAGCUAAUGCAUUAAGUGCCCCGCCUGGGGAGUACGACCGCAAGGUUG
RNAcentral lists this ribosomal RNA (372 nucleotides) under uncultured organism. Its description in RNAcentral is "partial 16S ribosomal RNA". It matches the Rfam family "Bacterial small subunit ribosomal RNA", at positions 528 to 896 of the family's 1533-position model. The record is from RNAcentral.